AGCGUACACAGGUGCUGCAUGGCUGUCGUCAGCUCGUGUCGUGAGAUGUUGGGUUAAGUCCCGCAACCGAGCGCAACCCCUGCAUUCAGUUGCCAUCGGGUGAAGCCGGGCACUCUGGAAGGACUGCCAUCGACAAGAUGGAGGAAGGUGGGGACGACGUCAAGUCAUCAUGGCCCUUAUGUCCAGGGCGACACACGUGCUACAACGGCCGGCACAACGGGAAGCGAGUUCGCGAGGACGAGCGGAUCCCUUAAAGACCGGUCGCAGUUCGGAUUGAAGUCUGCAACUCGACUUCAUGAAGCUGGAAUCGCUAGUAAUCGCAGAUCAGCCAAGCUGCGGUGAAUACGUUCCCGGGCCUU
Molecule: ribosomal RNA, 359 nt
Filed under: uncultured Synergistaceae bacterium
Lineage: Bacteria; Thermotogati; Synergistota; Synergistia; Synergistales; Synergistaceae
Description: bacterial SSU rRNA
Rfam family: Bacterial small subunit ribosomal RNA
Source: RNAcentral